UUCAAAGAACUUGAGUUAAUGGUUUGUCU
This 29-nucleotide non-coding RNA is filed under the name Mus musculus (house mouse). The record is from RNAcentral. Lineage: Eukaryota; Metazoa; Chordata; Mammalia; Rodentia; Muridae.